RNAcentral lists this ribosomal RNA (429 nucleotides) under Actinomycetes bacterium. RNAcentral describes it as "Actinobacteria bacterium partial 16S ribosomal RNA". It matches the Rfam family "Bacterial small subunit ribosomal RNA", at positions 355 to 776 of the family's 1533-position model. The record is from RNAcentral. Lineage: Bacteria; Bacillati; Actinomycetota; Actinomycetes.
UAGGGAAUCUUCCGCAAUGGGCGAAAGCCUGACGGAGCAACGCCGUGUGAGUGAUGAAGGUCUUCGGAUCGUAAAACUCUGUUAUUAGGGAAGAACAAAUGUGUAAGUAACUAUGCACGUCUUGACGGUACCUAAUCAGAAAGCCACGGCUAACUACGUGCCAGCAGCCGCGGUAAUACGUAGGUGGCAAGCGUUAUCCGGAAUUAUUGGGCGUAAAGCGCGCGUAGGCGGUUUUUUAAGUCUGAUGUGAAAGCCCACGGCUCAACCGUGGAGGGUCAUUGGAAACUGGAAAACUUGAGUGCAGAAGAGGAAAGUGGAAUUCCAUGUGUAGCGGUGAAAUGCGCAGAGAUAUGGAGGAACACCAGUGGCGAAGGCGACUUUCUGGUCUGUAACUGACGCUGAUGUGCGAAAGCGUGGAGAUCAAACAGG